CAUGUACGCUGGCGGCAGGUUUACCACAUGCAGUCGAGCGGGCAAGGUUGCCUUGCUACCUGACCUAGCGGCGGACGGGUGAGUAAUGCUUAGGAAUCUGCCUAUUAGUGGGGGACAACAUUCCGAAAGGAAUGCUAAUACCGCAUACGCCCUACGGGGGAAAGCAGGGGAUCUUCGGACCUUGCGCUAAUAGAUGAGCCUAAGUCAGAUUAGCUAGUUGGUGGGGUAAAGGCCUACCAAGGCGACGAUCUGUAGCGGGUCUGAGAGGAUGAUCCGCCACACUGGGACUGAGACACGGCCCAGACUCCUACGGGAGGCAGCAGUGGGGAAUAUUGGACAAUGGGCGCAAGCCUGAUCCAGCCAUGCCGCGUGUGUGAAGAAGGCCUUUUGGUUGUAAAGCACUUUAAGCGAGGAGGAGGCUACUGAGAUUAAUACUCUAGGAUAGUGGACGUUACUCGCAGAAUAAGCACCGGCUAACUCUGUGCCAGCAGCCGCGGUAAUACAGAGGGUGCGAGCGUUAAUCGGAUUUACUGGGCGUAAAGCGUGCGUGGGCGGCUUCUUAAGUCGGAUGUGAAAUCCCUGAGCUUAACUUAGGAAUUG
This 600-nucleotide ribosomal RNA is filed under the name Acinetobacter sp. SS95. RNAcentral's name for it is "bacterial SSU rRNA". It matches the Rfam family "Bacterial small subunit ribosomal RNA", at positions 28 to 623 of the family's 1533-position model. Lineage: Bacteria; Pseudomonadati; Pseudomonadota; Gammaproteobacteria; Moraxellales; Moraxellaceae. The record is from RNAcentral.